This is a long non-coding RNA of Bos taurus (domestic cattle), 4213 nucleotides long. The record is from Ensembl. Lineage: Eukaryota; Metazoa; Chordata; Mammalia; Artiodactyla; Bovidae.
GUUGCCUGCACUUGGCUCCUCUGUGGGGUUGAGAGAAGCCAGGGAGGGCAUGGGUUUGUUGGAGGCAGGGCAAUAGCCGUCCCAGGAGGGGCACCCUCAGGACCCGGGAGCCCUGGGUGGGAGAAGGGGCCAUCCCCAGGCUCACUGCCCAUUGUCCACACCUGGUCCCCUUCUCCCUGCCCCCAGUGUCUUAGAAGGGAAGGGGGCUGGUGGGCAGGAUGUCGGUGGGGGGCGGUCCCGUGCCUGGGACGGGGGGGGGCGCCUGAGCUCCUGGUGAAUUGAGGGGGCUCUCCCUUUCAUUGUCUGCAGACUGGGGCGCCUGGCUCACCUGCCUGCCCCCCGAGGCGUGCAGCUGCCUCCCACCCGGCCCUUCCCCUCCUCUGCUCCUGGGCCAGGUCCGCCCCCAGCUGGACGAAGUGGGAAUUACAAGUGGGCGGAGCGGGUCCCUGGUCCGAGAGCCCCAGGCUCCAUCCCCUGAGCAUCUCUGGAGCUAUCCCUCCAGUUUCCCCAGGGCUGGUUCGCAGAUUCAGGCGUGGCAGCUCUGUCCACCCUUCACUCCACUGCUAUACCGACAAGGACCUUUUUGGGCUCCAGCGGGCAGAUUCUUUACCACUGAGCCACCUGGGAAACCCUGCCAUGGAUGGAUUUAUUUUCUCAUCUGUUUAUCUUGAAACUGCCCCCCAACACGGGGUGGGUAGAUUGCUCCACAUCUACCCUAGUGUAGGGCCUAGAGAGGCGCCUCUGAGACGGAGAAGCGGCGGGGAAGCUGGCCAGCGGUGUGGAAGCAAGUGCCCGGCAGCUGGCAGCGCAGAGGGAGGACGGGGCCUCUGCAAGGCGGCCCGCCUGCGAGAAAAAGCGGAUCACUCCAACCCGCCCGACCGGUGGUGCUGAAAUUCAGAUAAGCCGGGCGCGUGAUCCAGCCGGCUUUGCGGCAGACCCACCCCAAGCGGGAACACAGAAGUGAUUAGGCCUAAAAGCUCGGGCCAUUUAGCUUUUAUUCGAUUGGCAGCGAGGCCCGGGGUGCCCUCUGCUUCUGCCGUUUGAUUAUACAUCUGUGCUCAAAAUACUGUUCCUGGAACGGAGGGGCCGCAGGCUGCCUUGGAAUGGAAAUCAAUUUGAUUAGAGAGCAGUCAAUUACCGUGAGGACCAGGCUGCCGUCCACCUCCGCAAAACAGGCCACUUUCCGAGGAAAUGCCAGCUUGCUCCGCGCGGGCGGGGGCGGGGCAGACCCGCUGUGGGCGGGACGGGAAGGCCUGGUGUGGGCGGGGACGGGUCGGGGCAAACCAUGGUGGGCGGGGCGGACGGACCGGAAGGGGCGAGGUGGGUGGAGCAGGCCUGCACCCUUGCUUCCCUCCCUCUGAGAGGCUGCUCUCUGCUGCCUUCUCCCCUAGAUUCCUCCUGCAGAGGCUGGACUACCACGUGUCUGGACCGCUCUGGGGGCCCUGACCAGGGAGGCAGGCCUGGGUCUGGUCGCCACCUACUCCUGCAUCAGAAGCAAGCUGUGCAUGUCACCAAUGUGGGAGCCCCCCGGGUAGGACUGGAGCGGGGUGGUGCCCCAGGACCUGUCCAGUCCUCCACUAGAACUCGCAGCACCUCCGUGCUGAACUCAAGGUGCCCGUCGAGGGGAAGUGGGGACUGGAGAUUUACCCCUUCCAUCCUCCUGGCUGGACACCCGCAUGCAGUGAGCCACCUGCAGACUGGAACACUUCAGCCCUGCACUCAAGAGUCAGGUGGGCCUGUGACAGAGUCCCAGCUCUGUCCUCUGGCUGGGGGACUUUUGAAGUCACCUGGGUGAGAUUUUGUAAAAUAGAGAUAAUAGUUUCUACCUUGCUGGGGUGUCAUGGAAAUCAGAGAUCACCCCUCAAGUCAGUGUUUCUAGAGCAUCUACUCUAUACACCAAAUGCAGUGACUGAGGCAUUGCCGUCACCCCCUAAAGGAGCUCUGAUGUUCAUGGUUUCAUUGGCCAAGGGGGCCACAGCGUCCACUGGGGGCACCAGGCUGGCAGGUUCAAGGAGAGGCUUGCAUGCUGCUGGUGCACAGGGUCUGUGGCCCCCGCAUCAGGGCCUUGUGUGGAGGGCCUUCCGGGCGAUGAACACACCUCCCUUCCUCUCCCUUCCUCACACACCCUAGAGAGAGAGGCGAUGGUUCCCAUGUAAUGCACGGGAAAGUCGAAGGCUGCCAGCUGCUGCUGCUGCUGCUAAGUCGCUUCAGUCGUGUCCGACUCUGUGCUACCCCAGAGACGGCAGCCCACCAGGCUCCCCCGUCCCUGGGAUUCUCCAGGCAAGAACACUGGAGUGGGUUGCCAUUUCCUUCUCCAAUGCAUGAAAGUGAAAAGUGAAAGUGAAGUCGCUCAGUUGUGUCCGACCCUUAGCGACCCCAUGGACUGCAGCAUGCCAGGCUCCUCCGUCCAUGGGAUUUUCCAGGCAAGAACACUGGAGUAGGGUGCCAUUGCCUUCUCCGAAGGCUGCCAGGGCCUGGCUCAAAUCUCAUGGCCAUGUCACUGAAGUGGUGCAGCCUCGUUGAAAAACAGCCUGGCAGUUUCUCAAAAAACUGAAUGCAGAAUCGCCAUCCACUCAGAGGCUUGCACCCCAAAGACUUGAAGAGAGACGUUUAAACAACAUUGCACACCCAUGUUCUCUGCAGCAGGUGCGCAGUGACCGAAAGCAGAAACAACCCCGUGCCCAUCAACAGAUGAAGGACACCAAGAUUCAGUCCAUCCGCACGAGGAAGUGCUAUUCAACCCUAAAGAAGAAUGAAGGGCCGGCUCAGGCUGCCUCGUGGACGAACCUUGAAAACACGAUGCUGAGCAAAGGAAGCCAGACACCAUAUUGGUCAAUUCCAUUUAUAUGAAAUUCCAGAACAGGCCAAAGCAGUGAAAAAAAAACAACCCGAAACCCUCAUGUCCAGUGAGUGUUGGAGCUGAGUGGGAAGCCGAGUCAGGCCGGCCCGGGCCAUCACCCUCCACCCAGUGCACCCCAGAACAGCGGCUUGACGCAGAGGGGCCCAGUUCUCAGGCAGGACACCUCCUGUGUGUGGCUAGGGGUCCCACAACCCCGGAGGCUGUGUGCUGUGAGCAGGGGGUGCAGCAGGUUACUUUGCCUCCCAAGUGGGUACCCCGGUGGGGGCAAGAUGCACUUCUGAACUAAUUGAGCUCUUGUCUGAUGGGAGGUCUGCCCCUGCCAGAGCUUCAAGGUCAAAAGAAAGGGCUGAAGGAGGCGUGUGCUGCAGCCCAGAUCGGGCCCGAGGCGUGCUCUGGUCCCUGAAGGGUCUGCCCGACUCCCUUCCAGACCAAGGGAAGCUUCUGGAAACCUGGGAGGCAGGCAAGGCAGCAGGGGAGGGAAGAGCCUCACCCCAGCCCAUGUGUCCCUGUGAAGCUUAGCCCCCCAGAUUGUGAGAGGAAGGGGCCCCCAUCCUCUCAAGCCCCUCAACCACUGGGGAGGUGAGUGUCUUGUCCCCUUACAGAGAGGUCUAAGCCACCAAGGAGAAGCAAAGACCCAACCCAGGGCUCUGAGUCCAGGGCUUACAGGCACCAUGACGAGGACCAGGGACACCUGGGCAUAUGGGAGGGAGGGAGGGGGAAGAAGGAAGGGAGGCAGGGUCAGUGGGCACUUUGGGCAGUGGUCAGGGGUCGGGAAAGGCUUCCUGCUGAGGUGUCCCAGAGCAGCUGCGAGAGCAGAGGCAGAGUCUGAGCCAAAGAUGGGCCCAGAACCUCAGCCCCAAUGGGGCGCGGAUACUCCUGAGGCCUCGAGGGCCCAGCCUGUGACACCCCUCCGUCCCUCCGUCCCUCCCCCCCACCAGGCCUCUCUGCGGCUCUGGGCCUGGGCCACCUCCAGCCCUGGGUGGAAGGAGAGGCCGCCCCAGGAGAGACAGCUGUACAUCAGUCCUGCACGUUGGUUCCUGACGAGGCUCUGAGUCAUAUGCUCCCUGUGUUCGUCCGCAGAGUGGAGCAGAUGGUGGUGCAGUAACACUUUAAAUUAAGUAUUCCAAAAGCACAUUAAAUCUAGAUUGAAUAAGACAGUUAUUGUAUGGAAAUUGAAGGCCCAUUGGUUCUUCUCUGAGUAUCGAGGUCCAGCAGCUCCUCAUCCAGUCUCUCCCCGCCUUGAUUUCGAGGGUGGCUCAUGAGUGUGCCUGGGCAGCGGGGCAGGGCUUUCCCAUAUCAGCCCCCCAGGGACCCCCGCCUCGCACGGACCUCAGUUUCUGAACCCCUGUCCCC